Molecule: non-coding RNA, 31 nt
Filed under: Mus musculus (house mouse)
Lineage: Eukaryota; Metazoa; Chordata; Mammalia; Rodentia; Muridae
Source: RNAcentral
UAAAUGAAAAUUAAUGUUUUACAAACACAAG